UAUUUUUUAAAUGCUAUUUUUUAAUGCAUCAAUUAAAAUCCCCUAAAUUCGGCAAAUUUAUAAUUUAAUCUACCCAUUAAAAUUACUUGAUUUAUGCAAAUAUAAUCAUCACUACAUAGUCCAUAUCUAUCACAUUAUUUUUUAAGGAGAGUGUCAAACAUAAAAUCCUAAUUAUUUUAUAGUUCAAAGAUGAAAGCAAACAAUCAAAGACUCCCUACAUCCAAAAGAGUCAUUAGCCUUUGCAAAUUUAACAACCUUACCGAUAUUGAAGACAUGCUUAUAAAUAAGUAACUAUUACAGUAUCAGUGGUAUCAUUAUUCUACUUUAAAUGCAUUAAUAUAAUUACUUGGCCUAAUUUUUAUUAAUGCUAGGUAUAAUUGGUAUCAUUGUAUAUGCGAGUUCUAUCACCUUGGCCAAAGAUGGAGUGACAUACCUACAAAAUAAUGUACUAAUUGAUAGAAGGUAACAUUUUUUUUACUUAUCACAAUAUUUUUAUUGGAUCUAUUCUUUUUUUUAUUUAAAAUAAUGAUUUCCAUGUACUAUGAAUUAAUUGCAUGGCAGUUAUAUUGACUAUCUCAAGCCAUUUUAUAUUUGGUCUCAAUGCAUUGGACAACCUUAAAGAUUCAACCAGUUACCUUAUUUGUGGAUUAGUUGUCACAAGGAAUUAUGGUAAUUGUAUAUCACUAUUAAUAUUCAUUGUAAAUUUUUUUGUCAAUUGUUGAAAAUAAUUUUUAAAGUUCCCAUUAUUUUAUAUGUCCCUACAUUUUUAUAACAUUAGGUAUAUCUUCAUUACAUUGUGGAAGUGCUACAACUAUAACAUGCAAUCCAAGGUGUUAAAAAGCAACGAGAAUGAUGUGUUGGUAAGGAACUUAUUACAAUAUGUAUCUAAUAAGUUCUUUUAAAUGUUUACAUUUACUUAUCUUUUAAAUUAAGUUGUAACAUGUUUCUUACUGACCGUUUUGUUCGACACAAAGUCAAUUGGAUAAGAAAAAGCACCUUCCCACUAAAUAUGGCACUGAAGAUAUCUAAUACAACGAGAACAACAAUUAAUAAAUUUAUUAACAUGAACCAUGUAUGUCAAGUUUAAUUUACAGCAAUUCCAAUACAAUAUCUUUUUUAUUUUAAUUAUGUUUAUGAUAUUUUAAUAUGUAUAACAAUAUUUAUACUAUUAAUGCAUGAAAUAUGUUGUCGAAUCGUUGGCCGAUUAGUCCAUGUAAACAUCGAUAAUAUCAAAUGGAUUGAUUCGUGUUUUUUUUUGUAAUACAUUAUUAAAUUACGUGGGGCCACAUAAUAUUUGCUACAUGUGCCACAAUAAGAAUUAGCCACCAAAGAAAUGGUAAACAUCGAUAAACUAGUUUUUAACCCGUGCAAAACUAAUAUUUGCUCAUAUGUAUAUAUAGAUAUAAUGUAAUAGCCCUGUUUUUAAGGAUGUUUAUUUAAUACUAAUUAUAAUUAUUAAGUUAAUUAUGUUUUGAAAAUCUUAUUUUAUUUGAGAUGUGGAAUGUGAAUUAUAUUAUCGUGUUUGUAAUAUAUUUAUAUAUUUAAUUAGAUGAAGAUUAUUUCUAUUAUUAUUAUAUUAUAUUUUGGGUUUGUGCAAUUAGUUGAGUGGUAUUUGGCCCAAAUAGAAAAUCAAAGUCGGGCUCUUAUCCCUUGUUGUUGUCGGUUUAAUGAAAUAAAACCCCAAACCCAUUUCAUUUUGUUUCUUAUACCUUCUAUCCCCGUGAAACCGAGAAAACCCCAACCCCAACGAACCUGACCUCCUCUUUCUCGUUCGCCGUCGCCGCACGACUCUUCUGCCUCGCCGGAGCCGCGUCGAACCACCGCAGCCCUGUAGUUGCUGCUACUCCUUUUGCGAAACCCCUGUUUCGUUCGGUUCUGGUGACUCCUCUGUUCUCUUCGUUCGUCCUGUUAUGGAUGUCGUGAGUUGGUGCUGCUGUUGUUGUUCGUUGCUGCUAUUGGUGGUGUUAUUAUUUUGCUACAAUUCUCUAUACUUCUAUUGCUAAUUCAGAGACCCCAAUUUAUGGAUGAGUAUAUUAUAACUAGCUUUGUCUUGUUUUAUUUUGAUCAAUGAUUUCAUGGGUUUUGAAAAGAAAAUCAGAUUAAGAUUUAUAAUUUAUCUUUGUUGUAUUGGUUUUUGUAGAUAGUUUAUUAGUUUCAUAUAAGAAACUUAGUUGUUAGGGAAUUGUUGUUGUUGUAGGUUGUGUUGUUCUAUUGUUGCAGCUAUUAUGUUAUUGUUAUGUUGCUGUAGUAUUAUUGUUGUUGGGUUGCCGUUGUUUAGUUGUUGUUGGGAUUGUUGGUGGUGGUGUUGUAGUUGUGUUGGUUUAUAAAAGAAGAGAUGAUGCUGAAUUAAUUUGGGUAGAGUUAAGUUUAGUUAGUUCAGUUCUACAAUUUAGAAUUAUGAUUUGAAGAUUAUGGAAUUGAGAUGGUUAGUGUAGAUAAUUUCUAUAUUGAGAAUUUGUGAGAAUGGAUAGUAAUUAGUCUUGUUAUUAUUUUGAGGUUAAUGUUGGAGGAUUGUUAUGAAUUUCAAGAGAGUUGAUGGAGUUGUGAAGUUCUCAAAGUUCUUAUUGUCGGAGCUAAGGAAUUGGAUUGCAUUCAGGUUUGAUAUUCAGAGCUCGAAAUUCGAAGUGAAGCAAGAUUAAGGUGUCAUAGUGGCUUAAGGAUUAAGCUUGUAUUUUAGAUAGUCGGUUUGAGAAUAGUUAUUGAUAUUUUCGAUGUAUAAUAUUUGGGAAUUUAUUCGAGAUAUUGGUGUAUUUAAGGUUGUUUUUCCGCUGCGAAGUAAUCUAUUUAAGAGUUAAUUGUUGUU
This is a long non-coding RNA of Beta vulgaris subsp. vulgaris (sugar beet), 2803 nucleotides long. RefSeq lists it as uncharacterized. The transcript has 2 exons. The record is from RefSeq and is a predicted model, not a curated record. NCBI's taxonomy places the organism in Eukaryota, Viridiplantae, Streptophyta, Magnoliopsida, Caryophyllales, Amaranthaceae.